GACUCCGUAGCUCAGCUGGAUAGAGCAGCCGCCUUCUAAGCGGCAGGUCGUUGGUUCGAAUCCAACCGGAGUCGCCA
This 77-nucleotide transfer RNA is filed under the name Streptomyces purpurogeneiscleroticus. RNAcentral describes it as "tRNA-Arg". It matches the Rfam family "tRNA". From Rfam's summary of the family: Transfer RNA (tRNA) molecules are approximately 80 nucleotides in length. The record is from RNAcentral. RNAcentral also lists the same sequence under 1 other name. Lineage: Bacteria; Bacillati; Actinomycetota; Actinomycetes; Kitasatosporales; Streptomycetaceae.